GAAUGACUCUCUGCAUUGGUUUUCUGCUUCGCCUUGCCUUGAUGGUCAGCAACAGUAUGGAUUUCCAUCUUGUCAUUGUUCCCAUUUUACAUUGCACCUCAUAAUAAGUUAUUGAGGUAAACAGACACAGGUCUAUCUCUGUAGGGAUCAGUUAUUGAGGUAAACAGACACAGGUCUAUCUCUGUAGGGAUCAGUUAUUGAGGUAAACAGACACAGGUCUAUCUCUGUAGGGAUCAGUUAUUGAGGUAAACAGACACAGGUCUAUCUCUGUAGGGAUCAGUUAUUGAGGUAAACAGACACAGGUCUAUCUCUGUAGUUAUUGAGGUAAACAGACACAGGUCUAUCUCUGUAGGGAUC
Molecule: long non-coding RNA, 357 nt
Organism: Clupea harengus (Atlantic herring)
Lineage: Eukaryota; Metazoa; Chordata; Actinopteri; Clupeiformes; Clupeidae
Source: Ensembl